This 509-nucleotide ribosomal RNA is filed under the name uncultured bacterium. Its description in RNAcentral is "bacterial SSU rRNA". It matches the Rfam family "Bacterial small subunit ribosomal RNA", at positions 28 to 535 of the family's 1533-position model. The record is from RNAcentral.
GACGAACGCUGGCGGCGUGCCUAACACAUGCAAGUCGAGCGGAGUCGAUCGACGGAAGCCUUCGGGCGGAAGAUGGUUGACUUAGCGGCGGAUGGGUGAGUAACGCGUGGGCAACCUGCCUCGAAGACCGGGAUAACAGCCCGAAAGGGCUGCUAAUACCGGAUGUGGUCAAAGAUCCGCAUGGAUUUUUGAUUAAAGGGGAAACCCGUUUCGAGAUGGGCCCGCGUCCUAUCAGCUAGUUGGUGAGGUAAAAGCUCACCAAGGCGACGACGGGUAGCCGGCCUGAGAGGGUGACCGGCCACACUGGAACUGAGACACGGUCCAGACUCCUACGGGGGCAGCAGUGGGGAAUCUUCCACAAUGGGCGAAAGCCUGAUGGAGCGACGCCGCGUGAGCGAAGAAGGCCUUCGGGUUGUAAAGCUCUGUCUGGAGGGACGAAGGAAGUGACGGUACCUCCGGAGGAAGCCACGGCUAACUACGUGCCAGCAGCCGGGUAAUAGGUACUCUAU